Peromyscus leucopus (white-footed mouse) is the source of this 287-nucleotide long non-coding RNA. RefSeq lists it as uncharacterized. The transcript has 3 exons. NCBI's taxonomy places the organism in Eukaryota, Metazoa, Chordata, Mammalia, Rodentia, Cricetidae. The record is from RefSeq and is a predicted model, not a curated record.
AUGAAGGAGAUUUACACAAGCAAUCACAUGUGGAAAUUGUUUGAGAAUUCCUCGUGGACAUCUGCAGGGCCUGUAACAACACGAGUGACAGGAAGCACGCAGACUCGAUUCUGGAGAAGUACGUCACUGAAAUCGUGAUGAGCAUUGUCACAACCUUCUUCAGCUCUCCUUCUCAGACCAGAGUACCACUCUGCAGACGCGCCAGCCUGUCUUUGUGCAACUCCUGCAAGGUGUCUUCAGGGUUUACCACUGCAACUGGUUAAUGCCGAGCCAGAAGGCCUCCGUGG